This 839-nucleotide long non-coding RNA is filed under the name Olea europaea (common olive). Its description in RNAcentral is "long non-coding RNA (OEUR_LNC007804)". The record is from RNAcentral. Lineage: Eukaryota; Viridiplantae; Streptophyta; Magnoliopsida; Lamiales; Oleaceae.
AGAGGACCAAUUAAACAAAUCUGAGCAACCAAUUGCAGAUUCAGAAAAUUCAAUGAGCAGCGCUGAUGAAGUCGACACUUGUACUCCACUUGAAACUAGGCAAAACAUAUGCAGGACUGCGAAUGCCAUCCGUGUACUUUCUACCUUAGGCUUCGUGGUUACCGUGGAAGUAAUAUUGGCUGUUGUAAACCUGAGCAUGUCUUUGAGUCUGGAUAUACACGAGAUGCUGGGACCAGAGUUUUAUGUGCUAGUUGCUGAGAAAGAAGCUGAACGUCGAAGCUCAUUAGGAAAAAAGAGAUGAUCAUGUUAUUUAAUUUACUUCACAAGGUUUAUACUCUUCUAUGGUCUACUUCUAAGUAUCACUAGAAGUUUUAUCUUGUGUACUAUUAUUAAAAGCAUUCGUUUAUUUGGCAAAAUAUAUUUGAAGUCGGUUACCUGAAUUUAUUAUCUUCAUUUUGUUUGGGUUGGUGAACAUGUUGAAGUGAAAGAUCCCAUGUUAGUAGAGGACCAAUUAAACAAAUCUGAGCAACCAAUUGCAGAUUCAGAAAAUUCAAUGAGCAGCGCUGAUGAAGUCGACACUUGUACUCCACUUGAAACUAGGCAAAACAUAUGCAGGACUGCGAAUGCCAUCCGUGUACUUUCUACCUUAGGCUUCGUGGUUACCGUGGAAGUAAUAUUGGCUGUUGUAAACCUGAGCAUGUCUUUGAGUCUGGAUAUACACGAGAUGCUGGGACCAGAGUUUUAUGUGCUAGUUGCUGAGAAAGAAGCUGAACGUCGAAGCUCAUUAGGAAAAAAGAGAUGAUCAUGUUAUUUAAUUUACUUCACAAGGUUUAUACUCU